Long non-coding RNA from Vicia villosa (hairy vetch), 1196 nucleotides. RefSeq lists it as uncharacterized. The transcript has 3 exons. NCBI's taxonomy places the organism in Eukaryota, Viridiplantae, Streptophyta, Magnoliopsida, Fabales, Fabaceae. The record is from RefSeq and is a predicted model, not a curated record.
CAUUACAUGAGAGACUGCAACGAUACCUUAUUCUCCGCCGCCGUUGUAACCGCCAGUAGUUCUUACAGCAUUAUAUUACUAACAUUUAUUAUAUUCAUUCAUUCCUGUUUAUUAAUCGAAUUAUGUAAUGUAUUUAUGCUGAUAAAAAAUUUCUAUAGAAUUUGCCGAGUCGUUGCGAGAUAUGGGUUCUUGUUUGCUCGAGAAAACCGCUUUGAAUGAUCACGAAGAAGAAACAGUAUCACACAAUUUACUUUCCUAUCAUAUUUAUUUUGUCAGCAGACUAAGUGUUAAUAAUCACUAGAAACUCAGACACACAACUGUGAGAGUUAGGGUUCAAACAUUGGUAUCGGUGUUCAACCUAACAAUAUCGGCAUUUUUUUCUUUUAAUUCAGCUAGGAUUUGCAUACUGCUUGCCUAUUACUUUAUCUACUCUUAUUAUUUUCUAUUUCUGCAUGAAAGGUUUUAAUUAUGCUUGGUAAAUUCCAGUUUAAACUUCAGAAACUAAUUGAUAACAAUGUCUCAGCAUCGUAUAUGUUUUCUUCAAAAACUAAACUGUUAUGGCAUUGCAUGUGUUUUUUAUGUUUUGAUAACUUUUUUAAUUUGUUUCUUUUUUCUUCAUUUUUCAAGUAAAAUUUACUUUGUUUGAAAUCAUUUUGCAGAGGGUAGAGCUGAGCAGUGCAUCCAUAGAGUUUCUGAAAGGUGUCUUUAGAUGGUAUGUUUUGUGUUACUUCUCAAGUCUACUUAUUGCAGGUAUGUUCUAGGAAUAUUGUUGAUGUUAAUGAUGUGUUUAUUUUGUUGAUUGUGUUUUGUACAUAAGGAUAACUUAGAGUGUAUGGAAGAAGUUUUGAAGAUAGAUGCAUCCAACUUAAUAGUUUUUGCCGAUGAAGCUGGAAGGAGUUAAUUCAAGAGGGUCAUUUACUUCCUCUCUCUCUGCAAACAAUUGUCACUAAUUGUUUGUGUUAAAUGUUUACUAGCAUUGUUUGAAUUUCAUAUGGCAGUGGAAUUAAACUUGACUACACAACUACAAUUGUGGAAGCAUUCACAUUGUGGAAUCCUUAACAUUUAUUCCUCAUUCUCUGUGUUUUACGUUUGUUGCAUUUUGAUUGCUCAUCUUGUGUAGAUACCUUACUGAUAUAAAUAACAAUUAUAUAUCAGUAACAACCAAGUCGACUUAAACUCACUAUUUUUACGGGUCA